This 478-nucleotide ribosomal RNA is filed under the name uncultured bacterium. RNAcentral describes it as "partial 16S ribosomal RNA". It matches the Rfam family "Bacterial small subunit ribosomal RNA", at positions 28 to 507 of the family's 1533-position model. The record is from RNAcentral.
GAUGAACGCUGGCGGCGUGCUUAACACAUGCAAGUCGAACGAGAAGUGGAGACGGAAACCUUCGGGCGGAAGACUUUAUUUCGAGUGGCGGACGGGUGAGUAACGCGUGGGUAACCUGCCUCAUACAGGGGGAUAACAGUUGGAAACGACUGUUAAUACCGCAUAAGACCACAGCACCGCAUGGUGCGGGGGUAAAAACUCCGGUGGCAUGAGAUGGACCCGCGUUCGAUUAGCCAGUUGGCGGGGUAACGGCCCACCAAAGCGACGAUCGAUAGCCGAUCUGAGAGGAUGACCGGCCACAUUGGGACUGAGACACGGCCCAAACUCCUACGGGAGGCAGCAGUGGGGAAUAUUGCACAAUGGGGGAAACCCUGAUGCAGCGACGCCGCGUGAGUGAAGAAGUAUUUCGGUAUGUAAAGCUCUAUCAGCAGGGAAGAAAAUGACGGUACCUGAGUAAGAAGCCCCGGCUAACUACGUG